Molecule: long non-coding RNA, 9186 nt
Organism: Fukomys damarensis (Damara mole-rat)
Lineage: Eukaryota; Metazoa; Chordata; Mammalia; Rodentia; Bathyergidae
Exons: 6
Source: RefSeq, a predicted model, not a curated record
CGAGGAGGGACGAUGCGGCUGGCCUCUUUGGCCCGGUGCUCCGAAGGAGUUUCCUGCCCCUCGCAGAGUGCUGUGCGCGGGAGGAAGGGCCUGCAUUUCCUAGCUAGGAGAGAUGCCUGCCGUUCCUGCCAUCCUGGUGUGCAGAUGAGCCUGCAAACUGCCCAGAUCCAUCUGGAAUCCUGAGAAGGCCAGUGCAGAGUGGAGUGGACCUCACAUAGAGAAAUUACCCAGCAAGGAAAUCUGGUGGUAGUGACAGAAGGGAACUCCUGCAUGAUGAUGAAGGAUACUACGGAGCCUAGCAUGAGCAUCACAGAGGCAAGACCUUGCUUUGCUGCCAGCCAGGAAUAAGAGUUGGGAGAAAGAAGUACACCCAGCAUCCCACCUCUACCCCCACCCCACCGCCUGCCAAGCACAGGAGGAGGAGAAACUGCUCAUCACCUUGCAGAUGUUAAUAACUGAACUUAACAUAGCUCGGUGAGGUGGGCUCAUAUUUCUUUAGAUUUGCCUGUUUCUCCACUAGGUACCUACUCAUCAAUUCUCCAUACCUGAAUGGAUGGCAGGUUUCCAUUUCUGCAAAGUUAGUGUUUCCACAAAAUCUGUUCACAAAGGGCCUUUUUUCUUGGUCGUCUCAGACCACUCCCACACCAUGGUCCUCUUGUGGUCCUGACCUGACCCACUUCCCAAGGGACUCCCAGGGUCGGGAUGCCUGGUUGUCAUGGUUACCAGGCCUCAUCCUGCUGCUCUGAGUCUCUCCUGCACACAACUCCCCAGAGAAGCUUUGGCCCCAUCCCGCCCUCCCCAGAUCCUAUCCUGGGAGCUCCAGCCCCUCUGUCCUCUGGCCAGGAGGGAGUUUGGGGGCCAGCACCUCAGAGGGGCACUCCCCGAGAAGAACCAACAAGCGUCACCCUCCUGAGUGUGGUUUAGGAUUGGCCAUUCUCUGGUCACCUGCAGAUGAAGCCUGUGUGGACAGGAGCUGUUGUUGGUCCCCUGUAUAGUUUCAGAGAUCUCUCUGGAAUGAGCACCUCUGUGGAGAGGCCAUGUCUGCCCCCUCUGAAGGUGCCCAGCAGUGGUGGCUGAGGGGUGGAUCUGGGGGACCACUUCCCAAAGGGCAGCCACAGGCACCCUGUUCCUGAAGGACUCCUCACCAGGCCUGCAGCCCCCUCCAUCCUCCCCAGCAGUCCCUGCUCCUGUGCUCCUGGGUGGUGUCCUUCAGGUGUGGCAGCCACAGGUUCCCAGCCCACCCCAGCCUGACCUCCAGAGCAGAGCCAGGGAGCUGCUCCUUGCUGAGCCGGCUGACCUUCCUCAUCCCUCUGGCCCUGCUGUUCACUGGCAGCUCAGAACUCCCAUCCCCAUGGCUUCUGGCACCUGCUCCUGCCCAGGAGGCUGCUUUGGAUCUCAGGCCACCUCUCCUGCAAGAGGCCCUGUCUGUGGUGCACGUUAGGGGAGAGACCAUCCUGACAUGUCAGCCUGGCUCUCUGUCUGGGUCCUACCCUCCCUCCAGUGCUCAGGCCCACUGUAAAUGGGCCAGCAGCUGGGCUCAGAGAGCAUAGAGUUGGGCAGAAGGGAGAGAUCCACAGGAGGCGCUGAAAGAACCCCCAGGAAGGCAGAUGGACAGAGCAAGGCUGGACCCAUGCAGGGAUAGCGGUGGCCCUGGCUAGUCCUGCCUGGAGCACCCUGCCGGCUGCCUCCACCAAACUCACCUGUGACCUGGGAUGUGGCUGUUUUGGCAGUUAGUCUUUAAACAGAUGGCUAAGGUAGAAUCAGGUUACUGGGGCGGCGAGGGGAGGCUGGUUCAUCCACCUGUGUCCUUGUAAGAAAAGGAGAUCAAGACACAGACACCAGAACAGCCAUGGGGGACUCGGGCUCCAUCUGCAAGCCAAUGAACCAGGCCUUGAGAAGAGCCAGCCUUACAGCACCCUGACCCUGACUUCAGCACUGGUUGGGCUCUCUGCUGCCGAAGCCCCCAGCUGCAGAGCUAUUAGGGCUCCCCGUACUUCCCCAGGGCCUCGCCUGGCCUGUGCGUGCUGGUUUUGGUGUGAGUGCCGAUGUCCAGCCUUGCAGGGCCAGAGCUGUCACCAAUCUGGCACCCCCUCCCUUGGACAGGUGCUCCCUGCAGCAGGCACCAGUGCUAGGCAUGGCCUCACGACCCAAGAUGUGCAGUGACGGUGCCCUGAUGCUGCCAGGAGCUGCCGUGGGGCUCUGUUCCACUUCCUGUGAAGCUGGCGUCAGCUUGCUGUGUCCUCCCCACGUCCCUGACUGUGUGGCUGAUGCCUCAGGACUGGUGGUUACACCUGCUGUCCCUGGGCCUGGCAGAGCAGAGGGGACAGCAUGGGAUAGCAUCUGCUGGAGCAGGUCAGGCGCCCUGCUGCACAGCAACUCUCCGAGCAGGGGUAGCGGCCACCUCUUCUCUCCCCACAGAGGUCACCUACAGGGAGGCCCAGGCCCAGAGGUUCAGUGAGUGCUUCACUCGCUCUCCCAGCCUCUAUUGCCAGUCAACACCUCAAGUUCCAUAAAAUGGGUUAAUUCUGGACCAGGUUCCAGGGCCAGCAGCUGAGCCAGGAUCACGAAGUUGAGCCCAGAGUGUGGAUUAGUAGGUAGUUCUCAUCAGCCAACAAAAACCAACCUUUCUUCCAAGCCCUGAUCCUAAGAAGUAAUCACCCUUCGAAUCAGAGUUCCUAAUCUCUGAAACAGGCCCCUGGCUCCCUCCCAACUCUGUCCCAGGCCAGGGAGGAGCCUUGCCCAGGGGCAGGGCCACAGGGUGGAGGCAGUGGCCGGCGAAGCUGAGUUGUAGCUUUGAGUGUCCAGAGCGCUGUAAUUCUUUCUCCUGGGCCCAGGGAGGACACGGGUCUCAUCUGAGGCCCUCGUCUGCACUGGGCCCCCUGUCCUGGGCAGACCACAGCCACAUGAGCCUGGGGUCUGAAGGUCUUGGGUCAGGAUGGCUCUAAGGCCCUUGAAGGGCUUGUGGUGAGGGGCACUGCUCUCCUAUCAGGGCCUAGAUGGGGCAAGGGAGGGGAUGCUACAGGCCCCUCAGCACCAGCCCUUCAGGGACAGGCACUACCUCAGGUGGGUGCUGCGCCUGCCCUGCCCAAUGUGCCCCUGCAGCACUCCCUCCCCUGGGGGCUUGGGGACACCUGAGAUGGCUGGGCAGAGCCUCGGUGCAUGGGGCUCCCCUCCAGGAAACCCCAGUAGGAAUCCAGAGCUGGUCGCAUCCACACAAAGCAGCCUCCCAACUCCAUGUUUGUGGUGUAACAGGGCUUGGCAAGUAAGAAUGCAGGAGGCCCCAGGACAUUUGACUUUCAGGUACAUGAGGAACACUUUCGUAAUGUGAGUGUAGCCCAUGCAAUAUUUAAGACAUACUUAUACUGAAAAAUAUCCAUUGAUUAUGUCUUGGGUGUGGCCUGGCAGCUAUACCUAGGCCAGGUGUGGGGGAGAGCCCUGUGCAUGGACAGGUAUGAGCACGCUAGGCUAGGCCAGGGGAGGUGGGCUGGGAGAAGGCAGGACACCUGCAAUGGCAGCAUGGCCCUGUUCCUGUUACCCAGGAUCUGGUUUGGUGAUGGUAGUCUUACACGCUGACGUGGCCAGCAGACAGCCCUGGGCAGGUUGCUGCCUUUGUCUUAGGAGCUCCUGUCCCCUUUCCUCAGGGGAAGGGCAUUUUCUGUGUCCAGCCCUAGGGCUGGCCUUGUCCCAAAGCCCAGGUGGGGCUUAGCAGGCUGCCCUGCCCUUAUCCAUUGGGGACUCUGACCCUGGAGGGGCCGGAUGUCCUCCUACCUCUGCAAAGUCCAGGCUGAGGGCCUGGGUAAGGAAAGAGGGGUCAGUAGCCAGUGCAUGGGUAUAUGGGGCCUAUGGGAUGCACCCUGCUGCCCACCUCAGCCACCCUCACCACACCAUCUGCCUUCAGCCAGGCCACUGGGCCAGGGGGCUGAACCUUCACUUCGUCCUCCAGUGGGUCUUACAGUGGCGAGGGGCCAACCUCAAAGCACAGGUUCCUGCUGGAGAAGGGGGCACUUGCGGAACCUCAGCUGGUACCCUGUGCCCAUGUCCACAGGCCUCUGUCCUGAGGCCUUCCAGGUCCCAGGCUCAUAGCAUACCAGGCCGCUGGUCUCCCCCCACAGCACCCACAGUGUGAUGCCACCUGUCACAUCCCCAGCCCCCCACCGCGCAUGCCCUCUUGUGCCCCAGGUGCCCCCUGCAUAGAGCCCCCUAAAUCCCAGCUGGCCACAUCCUCCAGUCCAAGAGGCCCCUCAUCCAGCUCCUGUUGGCCUCUCCACCCCAGCGACCCUUGCUCAGCCCUCCCUGGAUCCCCACCCAGGUGCCCACACACACCUUUGAGGGCUCUUCCCCUCCUCCAGGAAGCCCCAGGACUGAGCCACCGAGGUGAGGCCAGCUCCUGGACAUGAAGGAGCUUCCUGGUGAGCCUGCCUUGCACAGCCUGCCUUAUUGCUCCCCCGACUGCCCAUACUGUGUGUGCUGUAUUUUGGCAUGUCGUGGUCUGUGGACUCAAUCCUGAGCAGGUCCCUGUUGCUUCCCCAACUUGAGUGUAACCCACAACACUGGGGACGGCACCUCCUUGCUCUGCUGUUUGAGUUUAAGAGUGGUGAUGAGCAGGGCUCCGAGUCUCCUUAAACACGUCCACCUAUGUGGUCUCACUUUCAAAGGAGCUCGGCUAGGCGAGCUUCACCCCCCAAGGUCCCAGCGACCAAUGCGGGGCUCGGGGUCAUGCAGAACCCAGGGGCACACAGCUGCUUGGGGGAGACCAUGGCAGGGGCACUCUGUGGGAGUGGUGUCCAGAGCCCAGAAAGUCACUGCGCUCAGGCCUGUCCGGCCUCUGGGGCAGCUGCUGGCAGAGCAGAGUGGGUGGGGUCAGCCCUGGUGGCAGGGCUAGAAUCUGGGGCCCAUAGGCCAGUGAGCCCAGACCAGACACGGCUGGCAGCUACUUCACCUCGGAGGAGAUGGACACAGUCACGUGUCACACCCAGCACCCCGAUCUGCACUCCUGACACUCCCACUGCAGGGUGGCUUGUGGUCAAUUCUGUCACCAGAGGCUGGCUUUGCGGCUCUUGAUUCCACUGACAUGAAGGCACAACGAGCAGUCUCAUGCCUGGUGUCUUUCACCAAGAUGAUACUGGAGAAUGUCACGCACUGCCUCACAACUUUGCGGAUUUUAGCGACAUCCGUGCCAUGGUCACAGACCAGGGCCCCUCCAGAAUCCAUCCCAGGUCAGAUUCACGUGUUAAAUCGUGAUGGAGUCAUGUCAUAUCUUGGCCGUGUUGAAGCACACAGCAGGGCACGGAGCUGGUCCACAUUGCAGCCAACACUUCCGUGCACCUCCAGGGCUCCCUCACUUCCCUCUGACGUCCACCCCUCCCAGCCCCUGGCCACAAACAGGAAGCUGGAGAGAAAACCGCUCUCUUGAUGUCCCGUCCCCCAAGAGGUCUGAAGGUGGGCACGGCUCUGCUCCCCCUAGGAGCCCGGCAGGGUCCUUCCUCACCUCCAGCCUUGGUGGCCCCAGGCUGCCCCUGGCUGAGAUUGCAUUGCUGCUCUCGGCCACCUCCUCUGUGCCUGUGCCUUUCAUAAGGACGCAGUCUUUGGGCCACUGCAAUCCAUGAUGACCUCACCUUGCAAUCCUUCACUUAACCUGCGAAGACCUUUUUCUACCCAGGUCUCUACCACAGGUUCUGAGGUUAGACAUGGAUGGACUUUUGUAUUCAAUGCAACACAGCCCUCAGUCCAUUGGUGUUUACAGGUUUAGGGGCCGAGCAGGGCUGGACCCAACCCUGGCUGGACCCAGGUCACAGAAGAGAGGGGGCCCAACCAGAACCCUCAAGAGAGGUGAGGCUGGCCUGACUGGCUCCCAGCAGAGCCUGGGGCAGGGAGGUGCUCACACUAUGCCAGGGAGACGCGGCUGCUGGGCAGGAAGGAGGGGCCCUGUUUCACUCUCGCCCUCCUGGACCCUGUCUGGGUGCUGUUGGCACAGACAUCCUAGAACCGCAGCCCAGGACAGUAGGGUGGGGGACAGCAGACAGCCCUGUCCUGUGUGGGGUCCUGGAGAGAGGGGAGCAGACUGGCCUACCCGGCAGACAGGCUGAGAGCAGGGUGGGGUCUGUGGGUGGGACCCACGGGCUGGGACACAGAGGAUGCCAUGAGGGACAACAGGAACAAAGGCAGCAGCUGGACACCGAGCCGUCUCCCUGUCAGGCCAGAUGGGCAGGUGGGGCUUGGGGGCCAGGCUUUGUGCUGUGAGCCUGGGGACUGCCACCAGCCAGCCAUCAAACCGAGUCCUCCACUGGCAUCCUAAUCAGAAGGGGUGGGGCUUCCCCGGGGCUGUUCAGCCCAGAUCAGAAGGCCAGGGCCAGGCUGUCCCCAGAAAGCCGAGUGUGUGCCUCUCCUGGUCAUCUCGGGGGCACACUGGAAUCCUGCCUUCCUUCCCCGGCUGCUUGCACAGUGCACCAUUUGGGAUGCUGGAAUGACCUGCUCAGGGGUAGGGAGGAAGGGUGCCAACCACUGGAUCCAGUCCCACUCCAGGAUCCCUCAGGAGAGGACAGGUGGAUGCUGUCCCCACAGCCUGGCCAGGACCCACAGUUCACUCUGCGGUGUCAGCCAAGCAGUGGCCAGGCCGAAGCACAGGUCCAGCGCUGCUUGUAUGUGGGGCAGGAGGGAGGAGUCAUACAGCUUUUAGCUCUGUCUAAAGAGCGGCUGUUGGGGGCAAAGAAGGGCAGUCGGUAGUUGGGUGUGCCGGGCACCCGUGGGGUCUAGCGGUCACUGCCAUGAGUGUGGUCCAUACUGGGGAAUGUCCUCAGCAUUUCAACAAUCUCCGGGUGCUCGAUUCUCUGAUGUAAGAACUACUUCCUCCUGUGUUUGAGACGCAAAGAAAUGGGAACUGACGGGAUGAGACCCACGCCAGCCUUCCACACUGCACCUGUGGAUUCAGCCGUGCGUGGAAAAUGUUUUUUGGAGCACAAGGGCACCUGUGCUGAAUAUGCAGACUUCGUUCCUGUCUUUAAAUGCAGCACAGCCACUGUGCACCCGGCGUUUACCAGGCACGCGGUGUUAGAUGUGACCCAGAUAUGGUCUGAAGUACGCAGGACAGAAGGCUGGAGUUUGUCAGCCCCCGUGGACACACAGGGGAAGGACACAAGGCCUCACAUUCUGAGUGAGAUUUGUUUUCAGAAAGCCGGUCCCCUUGGACAGCUCAGCUGGGGAACAGAGCCUGAGCCUCCCUCUGUCCUUUGAGAACAGUGCAGGCUGCAGGGCCUCCUGGGGCCUCCUGCUGUGGAGCACAGCAGGAGCAGGUCCUUAUGCUCUCCUUCCAAAUGGGGAUUAAACACUUCAUCUUUGCCAAUGCCCCUGGCACAGACACCUGGGUUAGCAGGGGAGGUCUCAGAUGUCCCACUUUGGUGGGUUCUGCUGCUCAGGGACACCGUGCUGCCCAACGCCUGAGCCCACUCAGCCUGCCAGGUCCUCCCUGGGCUUGCAGACUCCCCCAUUCAUACAGGAAGAGCAUGAGUGGGUGCUCCUGUUCCCUGCUCAGGGCCACUUACAGGUCUAUGGCCCCAGUGGCCGAGGCAGCCACCUCGCUGGUGUCUCUGGGUCUCCAGGCCACUGUGGAAGCUCUGACGCAGUGUUAAAUGGGGAUCUCCAGGGCUCACUCCUCUGAGUACCCAGAAACCACUUCCUGGAGGGCCCCAACCUUGCUGGGGUGCAGUCAGGGACAUUCGAUGGCAAUAGCCCUGAGGUGACCGUGACUCAGACAGCAGCCUCAAAAACAACCAUGUCAGGACCCACAGAGAACACGCUGCCUGUUAGCACAGAGGGACCAGCCCCACGACACCAGUCUCAAUGUCCAAAUCCAGGAUAAGAGAGAGGGGCCUUCCCCGGAAGCAGAUGCUGCCUUUGGUGCUGCCUGGUCACAGCGCCUGGGCAGACUGACCCCGCUCUUGGGCAGCGUCAGCACACUGAGGGUGCAGGAGUGGGCACCUGUCUGCCGUGGGCUCAUCCACAGGGAGCUCACAGGAAAUGAAGGAAGCAGGAGGAUCCUGAGAGUGACAGUGCUGGGAGAAUGGACAGAGACAUGAAGACGGACAGGGGCAGGGAGACAGAGUCCUGGGGAGACGGUGCGAGGUUGGCGGGGAGCCUGGGUGCUGGAAGUGAAGCAGGCAGAGAAGGUGCUGUGCGCAGCGUCUGGAGAGCUGACCUGUAGCUCUGCCACUGACCUGUGGCCCCUCACCUCCACCCCAGCCUUGUCACCCACCCGGCUCCUCUGCGCAGCUGCCAGGUGACAACAGAGGCUCUCCGGGCAGGAAGGGUGGGCUAGGACCGGUCCUUUUCACCUCCAGCAUUUGAACUCAUUUCUACCAUGAGAACCAGCAGGUAGAGGGACAGCCUGCUGCAUCUCGGGGACGGCCUGCGGUCCCAGCAGCCAGUAGGGUGCUGGUGUGCUCCUUCAGGGACGGCAGCAGGGUGCAGGCCAGGGCUAGGGCGGCUGACAGUCUUGAGGUGGGGGCCCAUCCCCCCCCCCCCCGCCUAGGUCAUCAAAGCUUCAGGGAAGGGAGAGAGGAAGGAAGGACAGUGGAGCCAUGGCCUGGACCAGGCUGCCCGGAAGAUGAAGUGGGCCCUGUGGGACUGAGGUCUCGAGUGAGUCCUGAGGAAGAGUUGGAACCCACCCAGGCCUUUCCUGCCUUCUUCCUCCUGACACCAGGGUGCCUGAGGCAGCUGCCCAGGGCUCACCUCCAGGCACCCCCGAGGCCAGGUGAGCCUGAGCCCAGCCUGGUGCAGGUGUGCCCUGGGGUCUCUCCCCUCUCAGGAGACCCCAGACAAAGGGGGCAAGGACCCAGGGUGGAGGCUGGUAGCUGGAGCCCAGGUUUCCCCGGUAGGUGGAGACUUCUCCCUGCUGGAGCUGCUGCCCCCCCAUGGCAACUUGUGGCCCCCAGACCGCAGGCCUGAAGACAGUGCGGAGGUGUGUGUCAGCUCCCCACAUGACUGUUGGCGUGAUGUGUGCAAGCACAGACUAACAAUAAAUAAGAAAGAUCCAAGUGCUGUGUGGCAGGGGUCUGUAAGACGCAAAGUCUCACUUUCACUCCACGGAGGGUGAACAGCCAAAAGGGCCUCCACAAUGUUGGGUCCUAUAGCCCAGCAAGGCUCCGGGAGCUCCACAGAGGAACGAGAAACCCAGGAAGGAACACACCAGGC